RNAcentral lists this unclassified non-coding RNA (1955 nucleotides) under Hevea brasiliensis (rubber tree). The record is from RNAcentral. Lineage: Eukaryota; Viridiplantae; Streptophyta; Magnoliopsida; Malpighiales; Euphorbiaceae.
GAGAGAGAGAGAGAAGAAGAAGAAACCUCCUUUACAAACAUAAAAUGAAAGAUAUGUAAAGAUAAAGUGAAAGAUAUUAACAUAAUUUAGCUCCCAUUCAAAGAGGGACAAUAAUAACUGUGAACUGCCUAGUAAGCUGAGGAGAUUACAAAGGAAAUUUGUGUACAUUAUCCAUAAGAUGAGAAAUGAUAAAACAAAAUUAUGCAAUGGCAUUGUACAUUUUUAUAAUUUCUGUAUCCAAAACAAAAAAGAAAAGAAAAGAAACAUUUUUGUGAAUUUUGUCAAUCUAUAAAUUAUCGUCCCUACACAAAAAUGGGAUCUCAUAAAUUUUCCUUUUCCAAAACUAUAAACUACAUUGCAACUAAUUUAAGAAAGAUCCAUUAGCCUGUGAUGCUGUCUAGAUUAGGGAUGAAAUGCCGCCUUUCAGUUUUUUAAUCACCAUCUCUACAAAGCAUGCAGCCUCAAACCUAUAAUAAUAGCUGCAUAUCACCAUAAAAUUAGAGGCAGCACCAAAGUUGAAUGAAAAAUACUUGAAAAUUCUGAUUUCAAGGAAUUGGCUUCACUGGACUGGAAGCUCCAUUUUGAGCUUGUUCUGAAGGUGAAGUCCUUGAAGACCCACUUUUCAAGAAAUUCUUUGAAUACAGAGAACCGAAGACGAUAACCUGAUCAUUGGAUAAAAUUAGUGUCCCAGGGCUUAAAAUGGGAAAAAAUAAUUUGGAAAGAAGGAUUGAGAUUGAGGCUUACAGCUCCAAUCCAUUGUUCCCAGCUAAGAGGAUGGGCAAACCACACGCAUGACAGCAUGAUGCUCACCAACUGUCGUGUCGUCAUUAUGGCAGCAAAAGUGAGAGCACCAAAUGUGCGAAUUGUGUAAGAAAUAAAGAACUGGCUAGCAGUUGCUACAGUGGAAAGCAGAGCAAUGUCAAACAAACAAUCUUUAUGGCGAUAAACAAAGUCUACGGCUAGAAGUAGAUGCCCUUGCACUACAAGGCCUGUGAAACUGAGAGCACAAGAGCAUAACGUAGUGUAGAAAAUUUGGUUGUGUAUUUCCAUAUCAUAACCUUUAAAUAGUUUAUCUUGGAAUGUGCUAGUAAAGCCAUCAAACCCAAGAUAACCAAGCAUCAGGGUAACACCCCAAACAGUAUUUUCCCUUCCUCUGCUGUAUGGACUGAUAUCAGUUCCUGCCGGAAAUAAAAUAAAAAUUGAACAACCCAAAGUAACUAGAAAAGCAAUUAAGUAGUCCAUUCCCUUGUAUCUCUUUUGCAUAAUGACAGUACCCCAGAUCAUGACAGGAAUCAUUUUGGCACAUUUUGCAAGUGUCUGAACAGGAAAACUGACAUAUUUGAGGGCCUCAUAUUGGCAAGUUGUGGUUAAUAUGUUGGAUACUGAUAUGAGGCAGUACUUGUAAACUGGAGCAACAGGGUUCAAGGCCUUUUUACUUGCCAAUAGAACGCCAGCAGAAACAGCAGAGGUUGUAAUGCGGUUACAGAAAACAAGAAAUAGCGAGUACUUGAAAUACUCUUUGUUCUCCCCAUAAGGGACUCUCAUGAUCUUUUCCUGCAAAACACCAUAGAUCACAAGAGUGGUCAUGAUUCCUGCCACGGCAAAAACCCCUUUCCAUAGCUUGUUCUCUUUAACACCAGCUGAUGAUAACGAAUCGGCCAUUACCCCAUUCACCAAAAGAAAAACUUAACACCACAUUGUACGAUCAGCCGCCGGAGAGAAGAAGAACAGCGGAUGUGAAGACAGAGAUUUGGAUCAGAGAGAGAGAGAGAGAUGGACUGUGGAUAGGUGGAGGAAAAUGGAAUAGGAGCGGAUUGAGAAAAAGAGAGAAGAGUAUGUGCAUGUGGGUGUUUAGAGACACAGAUAGAGAUCACCAGAGUCUCGUUUUCUCCGGCGAUUUUGUCUCUGUUUUGUUUUGUUUAGACUUUGGAGUUUGAUGUUCUUUUUCUUCUUUU